RNAcentral lists this ribosomal RNA (253 nucleotides) under uncultured bacterium. RNAcentral's name for it is "partial 16S ribosomal RNA". It matches the Rfam family "Bacterial small subunit ribosomal RNA", at positions 524 to 776 of the family's 1533-position model. The record is from RNAcentral.
UACAGAGGAGCCAAGCGUUGUCCGGAUUGACUGGGCGUAAAGCGCACGCAGGCGGUUGCGCGCGUGGGGUGUGAAAUCUGGCCGCUUAACGGCCAGGCGCCAUCCCAUACGGCGCGACUGGAGUGAUGCAGAGGUCGAUGGAAUUGCCGGUGUAGCGGUGAAAUGCGCAGAUAUCAGGAGGAACACCGGUGGCGAAGGCGGAUCUCUGGGCCAUUACUGACGCUGAGGAGCGAAAGCGUGGGGAGCGAACAGG